UGAACGCUGGCGGUAGGCCUAACACAUGCAAGUCGAACGGCAGCACAGUAAGAGCUUGCUCUUACGGGUGGCGAGUGGCGGACGGGUGAGGAAUACAUCGGAAUCUACUUUUUCGUGGGGGAUAACGUAGGGAAACUUACGCUAAUACCGCAUACGACCUACGGGUGAAAGCAGGGGAUCUUCGGACCUUGCGCGAUUGAAUGAGCCGAUGUCGGAUUAGCUGGUUGGCGGGGUAAAGGCCCACCAAGGCGACGAUCCGUAGCUGGUCUGAGAGGAUGAUCAGCCACACUGGAACUGAGACACGGUCCAGACUCCUACGGGAGGCAGCAGUGGGGAAUAUUGGACAAUGGGCGCAAGCCUGAUCCAGCCAUACCGCGUGGGUGAAGAAGGCCUUCGGGUUGUAAAGCCCUUUUGUUGGGAAAGAAAAGCAGCAGGUUAAUACCCCGCUGUUCUGACGGUACCCAAAGAAUAAGCACCGGCUAACUUCGUG
RNAcentral lists this ribosomal RNA (490 nucleotides) under uncultured bacterium. RNAcentral describes it as "partial 16S ribosomal RNA". It matches the Rfam family "Bacterial small subunit ribosomal RNA", at positions 30 to 507 of the family's 1533-position model. The record is from RNAcentral.